UCUAUGGAGAUACUCAUUCACCCAUCCAUGAUGCCAGCCAUCAGUGUAAUUGCUUAAGCAUGACUUAGCAGUUCAUGAAAAGAAAGAGCUAUGAACAGUCCCAUGGUAGCAUGCAAAUCUCAAGAGUUGUGGGAAAAGAUGAAGAGGCAGGACUGAAGAGCAGUAAGAAAAUAGGAAGAGGGAGGACUGAAUGGUAAAGAACAGGUAGACGAAGGGCAGGCAUGGAGACAUAAGUACAAAACUAUUUGUGUAUGGCCACAGAGGCUGUCACUGAUGGAAGCAGAAUGAAAGCACAGUAAAAAGGCAGAACACAUAUCAGAAGUGAUCUUACUGACAGAGGGGCUGGGUGGCACUGCUGGCAUUCAAAUCACGUCAUUUGGCAACACAGGAGAAACAUCGAGAAGAGGUUGAAAAACUACAGCAGCUAAAAAAGUGACAUAAACUCAGAAAGGAGUUCAAAGCAGAUGAUACAAACAAAAUGCAGUUUGGGGCGAAAGAAGGGCUUGAUUUCACACAGUCUGAAAUGUACCUCAAAAGAUACAUGUAAAAGAGAUGCACCGAGAAGCAUCAGCUUAUGAAGCAGCCUUAAGAAAAUAAUUUGGAGAAGACUUUUCUCUUAAAGUAUUUGAAAUGUGGCUGAACAAAGCACUGGGAAUUAAGGCAGAGAAAAUUAACCUAGGAAGAGUUAGAUAGUACAAAAGAUCUUUUCUCAUUAGUACAGUUUUAAAAUUUUCCACAUUUGUGCUCCUUUUUUUCUGUU
Molecule: long non-coding RNA, 760 nt
Filed under: Gallus gallus (chicken)
Lineage: Eukaryota; Metazoa; Chordata; Aves; Galliformes; Phasianidae
Description: long non-coding RNA NONGGAT007215
Source: RNAcentral